This 232-nucleotide unclassified non-coding RNA is filed under the name soil metagenome. Its description in RNAcentral is "partial internal transcribed spacer 1". The record is from RNAcentral.
UUGAAUUUUAAUGAAGAGUUUGGUUGUAGCUGGCCCAUUCAUUUGGGCAUGUGCACACCUUCCUCUUUCAUCCCACACACACCUGUGAACCUGUGAGACAGAGAUGGGGAAUUUACUUGCUGCUUUUUGGAAUACAAAGGCAAUAGGUUAUUGGACCCCCCCUCUGUCUACUCAAUUAAUAUAAACUCAAUUUAUUUUAAGACGAAUGUAAUGGAUGUAACACAUCUCAUAC